CUACGGGUCGCAGCAGUGAGGAAUAUUGCACAAUGGAGGAAACUCUGAUGCAGCAACGCCGCGUGGAGGAUGACGCAUUUCGGUGUGUAAACUCCUUUUAUAUGUCAAGAAAAUGACGGUAGCAUAUGAAUAAGCUCCGGCUAACUCCGUGCCAGCAGCCGCGGUAAUACGGAGGGAGCAAGCGUUACUCGGAAUCACUGGGCGUAAAGGACGCGUAGGCGGGAUAGAAAGUCAGGUGUGAAAUCCUAUGGCUCAACCAUAGAACUGCACUUGAAACUUCUAACCUAGAGUAUGGGAGGGGAAGAUGGAAUUAGUGGUGUAGGGGUAAAAUCCGUAGAUAUCACUAGGAAUACCAAAAGCGAAGGCGAUCUUCUGGAACAAUACUGACGCUAAGGCGUGAAAGCGUGGGGAGCAAACAGGAUUAGAUACCCCUGUAGUC
RNAcentral lists this ribosomal RNA (439 nucleotides) under uncultured bacterium. RNAcentral's name for it is "partial 16S ribosomal RNA". It matches the Rfam family "Bacterial small subunit ribosomal RNA", at positions 339 to 795 of the family's 1533-position model. The record is from RNAcentral.